Molecule: non-coding RNA, 341 nt
Organism: Homo sapiens (human)
Lineage: Eukaryota; Metazoa; Chordata; Mammalia; Primates; Hominidae
Source: the annotation of a RefSeq genome assembly
AUGCUCCUGUUGCUCAUACCAGUGCUGGGGAUGAUUUUUGCCCUGAGAGAUGCCAGAGCCCAGUCUGUGAGCCAGCAUAACCACCACGUAAUUCUCUCUGAAGCAGCCUCACUGGAGUUGGGAUGCAACUAUUCCUAUGGUGGAACUGUUAAUCUCUUCUGGUAUGUCCAGUACCCUGGUCAACACCUUCAGCUUCUCCUCAAGUACUUUUCAGGGGAUCCACUGGUUAAAGGCAUCAAGGGCUUUGAGGCUGAAUUUAUAAAGAGUAAAUUCUCCUUUAAUCUGAGGAAACCCUCUGUGCAGUGGAGUGACACAGCUGAGUACUUCUGUGCCGUGAAUGC